GAAAUUUUUCCUUCAAAUGGUUCAAGUACUGAGGCUCAAACCUGUAUUGGUCACAUGUUCUAGGAUCUUCCUACAUCAACAACACAAAUGCAAGUCAACCCUAUGGUUCCAACACGGUUGAUUCCAUGAUGUUAGGGUUGCAAUCUUACUUUAAUGUUGUUGGGGGCACUUGUAAAAGAUGUAGCCCCCAUUGCUCUUGAACCAAAUCACCCUGAUUCCGCACUUAUGGCAGUUAACGAGGGGGAGUGGCACGAACUGGUAGCGGCUUGGUACCGACGAUGGGCAGCUGCUCAACAUGACCUUCACUUGCUUGUUCUCGAUAAAUGUCGAGGAGCUAGAGGAUGAUGAGAAGGUCGACAGCUUGCCUUGCCUCCCUUGUCCUCCUCUGCGGCGGCAGAAAUUGUGGCAGCAUGGCUACAGCGGCAGCGGUGGAAGCUUAGCGGUGUGGCAGCGUCGUGCCCGCGCGAAGGAGGCACUGCAGGAGGAGG
RNAcentral lists this long non-coding RNA (488 nucleotides) under Setaria italica (foxtail millet). Its description in RNAcentral is "long non-coding RNA (SITA_LNC003804)". The record is from RNAcentral. Lineage: Eukaryota; Viridiplantae; Streptophyta; Magnoliopsida; Poales; Poaceae.